This 253-nucleotide ribosomal RNA is filed under the name uncultured bacterium. Its description in RNAcentral is "partial 16S ribosomal RNA". It matches the Rfam family "Bacterial small subunit ribosomal RNA", at positions 524 to 776 of the family's 1533-position model. The record is from RNAcentral.
CACGUAGGGCGCAAGCGUUGUCCGGAAUUAUUGGGCGUAAAGAGCUCGUAGGCGGUCUGUUGCGUCUGCUGUGAAAACCCGGGGCUUAACCCCUGGCUUGCAGUGGAUGCGGACAGACUAGAGGUAGGUAGGGGAGAAUGGAAUUCCCGGUGUAGCGGUGAAAUGCGCAGAUAUCGGGAGGAACACCGGUGGCGAAGGCGGUUCUCUGGGCCUUACCUGACGCUGAGACGCGACAGCAUGGGGAGCGAACGGG